This 439-nucleotide ribosomal RNA is filed under the name uncultured Arenimonas sp. RNAcentral describes it as "bacterial SSU rRNA". It matches the Rfam family "Bacterial small subunit ribosomal RNA", at positions 338 to 769 of the family's 1533-position model. Lineage: Bacteria; Pseudomonadati; Pseudomonadota; Gammaproteobacteria; Lysobacterales; Lysobacteraceae. The record is from RNAcentral.
CCUACGGGAGGCAGCAGUGGGGAAUAUUGGACAAUGGGCGCAAGCCUGAUCCAGCCAUGCCGCGUGUGUGAAGAAGGCCUUCGGGUUGUAAAGCACUUUUGUUCGGGAAGAAAUCUUCCGACCUAAUACGUCGGGAGGAUGACGGUACCGAAAGAAUAAGCACCGGCUAACUUCGUGCCAGCAGCCGCGGUAAUACGAAGGGUGCAAGCGUUACUCGGAAUUACUGGGCGUAAAGCGUGCGUAGGUGGUUCGUUAAGUCUGCCGUGAAAGCCCCGGGCUCAACCUGGGAAUGGCGGUGGAUACUGGCGGACUAGAGUGCGGUAGAGGGUGGUGGAAUUCCCGGUGUAGCAGUGAAAUGCGUAGAGAUCGGGAGGAACAUCUGUGGCGAAGGCGGCCACCUGGACCAGCACUGACACUGAGGCACGAAAGCGUGGGGAGC